RNAcentral lists this ribosomal RNA (259 nucleotides) under Selenomonas sp. RNAcentral describes it as "partial 16S ribosomal RNA". It matches the Rfam family "Bacterial small subunit ribosomal RNA", at positions 1261 to 1533 of the family's 1533-position model. The record is from RNAcentral. Lineage: Bacteria; Bacillati; Bacillota; Negativicutes; Selenomonadales; Selenomonadaceae.
GGGCAAGCGAACCUCAAAAACCGUUUCCCAGUUCGGAUUGCAGGCUGCAACCCGCCUGCAUGAAGUCGGAAUCGCUAGUAAUCGCAGGUCAGCAUACUGCGGUGAAUACGUUCCCGGGUCUUGUACACACCGCCCGUCACACCACGGAAGUCAUUCACACCCGAAGCCGGCGCAGCCGUCUAAGGUGGGGAAGGUGACUGGGGUGAAGUCGUAACAAGGUAGCCGUAUCGGAAGGUGCGGCUGGAUCACCUCCUUUCUA